Molecule: long non-coding RNA, 385 nt
Organism: Pseudophryne corroboree (corroboree frog)
Lineage: Eukaryota; Metazoa; Chordata; Amphibia; Anura; Myobatrachidae
Exons: 3
Source: RefSeq, a predicted model, not a curated record
CCAACCAUUGAACCAACUGUGCAUCACUCCACACCACAGGCUCCAAAUCAGCAUAUUGAUCCUUCUUUGAUCCUCUUGGCUUGAAUGACCGGAGACCUCAACUUGUCUCAGAAAACAUGCCUACUCUUAAAAGGAAAGUGAAAGAACAUGAUAGAAAAAACAAGGAAAUAGGCAGAAAAUGUUUUAAAAUCAAUCAAAUGUUUUCAGGAAAAAAGAAGAAAAUAAAUGCAGCAGAGUUAGAUCCUGUACCCAGCACCUCUGAUCCUGUACCCAGCACCUCUGAUCCUGUACCCACAGAUAAUCAAUGCACUUCCCAAGAUAAUUCACUGGCCACAGUUAACACAAAUUGCAGCAAUGUAGAUGACUCGGUAUCGACGUCAUGUAA